This is a small nucleolar RNA of Nematolebias whitei (Rio pearlfish), 79 nucleotides long. The record is from RefSeq and is a predicted model, not a curated record. NCBI's taxonomy places the organism in Eukaryota, Metazoa, Chordata, Actinopteri, Cyprinodontiformes, Rivulidae.
AUGAACUGAGAUGAUGCUUUUUGUGGAUACCGCCCCAGUCUGAGAAGCAAUGACUGAAUGGUAUCUUCUCUGAUCUCCA